GACGAACGCUGGCGGUGUGCUUAACACAUGCAAGUCGAACGAUGAUCUCCUGCGUGCGGGGGCGAUCAGUGGCGAACGGGUGGGUAAUACGGGAGUAACCUGCCCUUUACUCUGGCAUAAGCCUGGGAAACCGGGUCUAAUACUGGAUACUACUUCCUGCCUCCUGGUGGGGGCUGGGAAGGGUCUUACUGUGCUUGGAUGGGCUCACGGCCUAUGAGCUUGUUGGUUGGGUGAUCGCUCGCCAACGCGACGGCGGGUAGCUGGCCGGAGGGGGUGACCGGCGGCCCUGGGACUGAGAGGCGGCACAGACGCGUACGGGUGGCAGCUGUGCGGAAUCUUGCUCCAUGCGCACCGGCCUGAUGCAGCGAGGCCGCGUGAGGGAUGACGGCCUUCGGGUUGUAGACCGCUAUCAGCAGGGAACACGCCACAAGUGACGGUACCUGAAGAAGAAGCGCCGGCUAACUACGUG
This 469-nucleotide ribosomal RNA is filed under the name uncultured bacterium. RNAcentral describes it as "partial 16S ribosomal RNA". It matches the Rfam family "Bacterial small subunit ribosomal RNA", at positions 28 to 507 of the family's 1533-position model. The record is from RNAcentral.